This is a transfer RNA of Holospora obtusa F1, 74 nucleotides long. It matches the Rfam family "tRNA". Rfam says of the family: Transfer RNA (tRNA) molecules are approximately 80 nucleotides in length. Their secondary structure includes four short double-helical elements and three loops (D, anti-codon, and T loops). Further hydrogen bonds mediate the characteristic L-shaped molecular structure. tRNAs have two regions of fundamental functional importance: the anti-codon, which is responsible for specific mRNA codon recognition, and the 3' end, to which the tRNAs corresponding amino acid is attached (by aminoacyl-tRNA synthetases). tRNAs cope with the degeneracy of the genetic code in two manners: having more than one tRNA (with a specific anti-codon) for a particular amino acid; and 'wobble' base-pairing, i.e. permitting non-standard base-pairing at the 3rd anti-codon position. The record is from Rfam. Lineage: Bacteria; Pseudomonadati; Pseudomonadota; Alphaproteobacteria; Holosporales; Holosporaceae.
GGGCUAGUAGCUCAGCUGGUCAGAGCGCACGCUUGAUAAGCGUGAGGUCGUAGGUUCAAGUCCUACCUGGCCCA